The sequence is a small nucleolar RNA, 218 nucleotides long. Its record names the gene U3. It matches the Rfam family "Small nucleolar RNA U3". From Rfam's summary of the family: Small nucleolar RNAs (snoRNAs) are involved in the processing and modification of rRNA in the nucleolus. There are two main classes of snoRNAs: the box C/D class, and the box H/ACA class. U3 snoRNA is a member of the box C/D class. The record is from Ensembl.
AAGAUCAUACUUUCAGGGAUCAUUUCUAUAGUCUUUGACUUGAGAAAUAUAAAUGCGAAAGUGAUCGGUUACUCUAACCACGAUGAAGAGAACUGAUGUUUCCCUUCUGAGCGCGAAGCAGGCAGUGAGUGAUGAUGCAAUUCAUCCGAUCCUUGCUAUUGAUGACCGUUCCAUGCUCUCUAGUGGAGCCUGGAGGUAGGGAUCAUGAUCAGAGUGGU